Molecule: ribosomal RNA, 948 nt
Filed under: uncultured Bacillota bacterium
Lineage: Bacteria; Bacillati; Bacillota
Description: bacterial SSU rRNA
Rfam family: Bacterial small subunit ribosomal RNA
Source: RNAcentral
UGGAUCCAGACUUUGAUUUGGCUCAGGACGAACGCUGGCGGCGUGCCUAAUACAUGCGAGUCGAACGAAGCUUUCUUUCACCGAAUGCUUGCAUUCACCGAAAGAAGCUUAGUGGCGAACGGGUGAGUAACACGUAGGCAACCUGCCCAAAAGAGGGGGAUAACACUUGGAAACAGGUGCUAAUACCGCAUAACCAUGAACACCGCAUGAUGUUCAUGUAAAAGACGGCUUUUGCUGUCACUUUUGGAUGGGCCUGCGGCGUAUUAACUUGUUGGUGGGGUAACGGCCUACCAAGGUGAUGAUACGUAGCCGAACUGAGAGGUUGAUCGGCCACAUUGGGACUGAGACACGGCCCAAACUCCUACGGAAGGCAGCAGUAGGGAAUCUUCCACAAUGGACGAAAGUCUGAUGGAGCAACGCCGCGUGAAUGAAGAAGGCCUUCGGGUCGUAAAAUUCUGUUGUCAGAGAAGAACGUGCGUGAGAGUAACUGUUCACGUAUUGACGGUAUCUGACCAGAAAGCCACGGCUAACUACGUGCCAGCAGCCGCGGUAAUACGUAGGUGGCGAGCGUUGUCCGGAUUUAUUGGGCGUAAAGGGAACGCAGGCGGUCUUUUAAGUCUGAUGUGAAAGCCUUCGGCUUAACCGAAGUAGUGCAUUGGAAACUGGAAGACUUGAGUGCAGAAGGGGAGAGUGGAACUCCAUGUGUAGCGGUGAAAUGCGUAGAUAUAUGGAAGAACACCAGUGGCGAAAGCGGCUCUCUGGUCUGUAACUGACGCUGAGGUUCGAAAGCGUGGGUAGCAAACAGGAUUAGAUACCCUGGUAGUCCAUGCCGUAAACGAUGAGUGCUAAGUGUUGGAGGGUUUCCGCCCUUCAGUGCUGCAGCUAACGCAUUAAGCACUCCGCCUGGGGAGUACGGUCGCAAGACUGCAACUCAAAGGAAUUGACGGA